GACGAACGCUGGCGGCGUGCUUAACACAUGCAAGUCGAACGGAAAGGCCCUGCUUUUGUGGGGUGCUCGAGUGGCGAACGGGUGAGUAACACGUGAGUAACCUGCCCUUGACUUUGGGAUAACUUCAGGAAACUGGGGCUAAUACCGGAUAGGAGCUCCUGCUGCAUGGUGGGGGUUGGAAAGUUUCGGCGGUUGGGGAUGGACUCGCGGCUUAUCAGCUUGUUGGUGGGGUAGUGGCUUACCAAGGCUUUGACGGGUAGCCGGCCUGAGAGGGUGACCGGCCACAUUGGGACUGAGAGACGGCCCAGACUCCUACGGAAGGCAGCAGUGGGGAAUAUUGCACAAUGGGCGGAAGCCUGAUGCAGCAACGCCGCGUGCGGGAUGACGGCCUUCGGGUUGUAAACCGCUUUCGCCUGUGACGAAGCGUGAGUGACGGUAAUGGGUAAAGAAGCACCGGCUAACUACGUG
RNAcentral lists this ribosomal RNA (468 nucleotides) under uncultured bacterium. RNAcentral's name for it is "partial 16S ribosomal RNA". It matches the Rfam family "Bacterial small subunit ribosomal RNA", at positions 28 to 507 of the family's 1533-position model. The record is from RNAcentral.